GCGGCGCGAGUUCCCUGCUCACCCUCCCUCUCCGCGGAAGUCCCCACGAGGUGGCUUCAGGGUGUAACAGAGCGCGCGGCUCCAGUCCGAAGGCAGCGGCCGGGGGAGGGAAGGAGGGGACCGAACCCCCGAGGAGUUUCCCAGAAUCAACUUCUGGUUAGAGUUAUGGGAAGCGCGGUUAUGGACACCAAGAAGAAAAAAGAUGUUUCCAGCCCCGGCGGGAGCGGCGGCAAGAAAAAUGCCAGCCAGAAGAGGCGUUCGCUGCGCGUGCACAUUCCGCACUCUCAACGCCCUGCGAGCGCCGACGGUUGGAUGGAGGGAGGGUCGCCCGGAUUCACCCCCAGCUGCCAUCCCCGUGGGCCAGCACUGCCUCUUUCUCUCCCUCUUCUUCCACCUUAUCUUCCUGUCCACUUUCCCCCUUUCCUUCCCCCAUAAUUGACCCCAAUGUGGAAUUGAGGGUCAUUUCAAAAUAUUUCUGAUACUAUUUGAAGAAAAUAAACUUUAUCU
This 507-nucleotide small RNA is filed under the name Pan troglodytes (chimpanzee). Its description in RNAcentral is "processed transcript". The record is from RNAcentral. Lineage: Eukaryota; Metazoa; Chordata; Mammalia; Primates; Hominidae.